GGAAUAUUGCGCAAUGGAGGGAACUCUGACGCAGCGACGCCGCGUGAGCGAUGAAGGUCUUCGGAUCGUAAAGCUCUGUCCUUGGGGAAGAAGGGAGCCGUAAGGCCUCUUGACGGUACCUUACCAGAAAGCCCCGGCUAACUACGUGCCAGCAGCCGCGGUAAUACGUAGGGGGCAAGCGUUGUCCGGAAUUAUUGGGCGUAAAGGGCGCGCAGGCGGUUUUUUAAGUCUGAUGUGAAAUCUCGCAGCUUAACUGCGAGCGGUCAUUGGAAACUGGAAAGCUUGAGUACAGAAGAGGAGAGUGGAAUUCCACGUGUAGCGGUGAAAUGCGUAGAGAUGUGGAGGAACACCAGUGGCGAAGGCGACUCUCUGGUCUGUAACUGACGCUGAGGCGCGAAAGCGUGGGUAGCGAAC
RNAcentral lists this ribosomal RNA (414 nucleotides) under uncultured bacterium. RNAcentral's name for it is "partial 16S ribosomal RNA". It matches the Rfam family "Bacterial small subunit ribosomal RNA", at positions 358 to 773 of the family's 1533-position model. The record is from RNAcentral.